UACGUAGGGGGCAAGCGUUGUCCGGAAUCAUUGGGCGUAAAGAGCGUGUAGGCGGCCCGGUAAGUCCGCUGUGAAAGUCGGGGGCUCAACCCUCGAAUGCCGGUGGAUACUGUCGGGCUAGAGUGCGGAAGAAGCGAGUGGAAUUCCUGGUGUAGCGGUGAAAUGCGUAGAUAUCGGGAGGAACACCAGUGGCGAAGGCGACUUCCUGGCCUGUUCUUGACGCUGAGGCGCGAAAGCUAGGGGAGCAAACGGG
Molecule: ribosomal RNA, 253 nt
Filed under: uncultured bacterium
Lineage: Bacteria
Description: partial 16S ribosomal RNA
Rfam family: Bacterial small subunit ribosomal RNA
Source: RNAcentral